UUGCCAAAGCUGUGCAUGCAGAUAAGCGUCUGAACAACCUCCCUAUUGUGAUGGAGAAAUAAAAGCUCUGCACGUCCCAGAUCUCAUUCACAUCCAGCCCGACAUCAGGUCCUGGUACCGGAGGAACCAUGCCUCUCGGAAGACAAAUGCAGUUUAUGUUACUCUUCAGCCGUCAGGGGAAGCUGCGGCUCCAGAAGUGGUAUGUGCCGCUGUCUGACAAGGAGAAGAAGAAGAUUACCAGGGAGUUGGUCCAGACUGUAUUAGCCCGAAAACCGAAAAUGUGCAGCUUCUUGGAAUGGAGAGACCUGAAGAUUGUCUACAAAAGGUACGCCAGCCUUUACUUCUGCUGCGCCAUUGAGGACCAAGACAAUGAACUUAUCACCCUGGAAAUAAUUCACCGUUACGUGGAGCUUUUGGACAAGUAUUUUGGCAGUGUGUGUGAACUUGAUAUCAUCUUUAAUUUUGAGAAAGCAUAUUUUAUUUUGGAUGAAUUUCUUUUGGGAGGUGAAGUCCAGGAGACCUCAAAGAAAAAUGUUCUAAAAGCCAUAGAACAGGCCGACCUGCUCCAGGAGAGCCAGAAUGAAGACUUUGGAGGUUACUCAGACAAUAUGUUGUGAUAGUGACCACCAAUGAAGCCUUAGCCUUCCAGAAACUCCCUGAUGCUAAAGAGGCAGAGACACCACGAAGCGUCCUUGAAGAAAUUGGCCUGACAUAAACCCCCGGCUGCUGUCUCCUGCGUCUCUGUGUCGUUACAUCAAUGUUCUCUGCCUUCACCUCAGUGUUAAACCAAUAGUGUAAGAUGCCGUCUGUCAGUAUUACUGUACUGCUAAGCUGCUUUAGUUCAACGAAAACGACUCUAUAGAAAAUCUACUCAAAAUGUAUCAACAGAAAGGGACUUGGACAUUGUCAACUGUAGCAUGUACACGACCAAUUGUAGGAAAACGGUUUAUUUUCUUCUAGCAUUUUUAGGGUUUGGUGCUGAUUGGAGGUAAUAUUGACACCUCACAUACGAUGUUCUGAUACUGCCUUUACACCAGAACCAUGUGUGAAUCAGAUCAACACCACCAAGCCCAGUCCCUAAUAUUUGACAACCAAAGACUGUGCCCUUAUUCACGACAGGCCAUUUAUAAUACAUAAAGGGAUCAAAAAAAACUGUUUACCACUGGAUUUUUUUUUUUCUUUUUGUAAACCAAAGACUUUGUAAGACCAGUAAUGAGACCUGUCCCUCAGUUCUGAAGAUGACACGUCCACUAUACAGGAAUAGCUUCAAAGGUCAAACCUCCAAAGAGCAGCAGGCGAUUCUCGUGGUGCAUGGGCGGUAAAGCCCCAGACAAGACGCGAUUCUGUUACUUUACUUCUGUGCACUUCUUUCUGUUCUGUGAUGCUUCUAGUCCUUGGGGAGAUAUGUCCUUGGUCAUCACACACAUUGGCUUCCAUCUCGUUGGCGGUGGGUAUUCUUCAAGUGUUAUAAUCUUCAGAUCAUAUAGUGAAGCAGCUUAAUAAAAAGAAAACCUGUGUGCA
RNA transcript from Bufo gargarizans (Asiatic toad), 1521 nucleotides. It is a transcript of the gene named adaptor related protein complex 1 subunit sigma 2, with no coding region annotated. Lineage: Eukaryota; Metazoa; Chordata; Amphibia; Anura; Bufonidae. The transcript has 7 exons. The record is from RefSeq and is a predicted model, not a curated record.